GUCUCUGUUUAUCUUUUUGGACGGAGCUGCUCCAUCGGUAUGACGUGAGCACGCUCCGGGCUCCCUAUCUAUCUCGAUAUCUGAAUGGCACCGGAGCGGAGAGAGGAUGUGCCAAGAAAGCUGGAAGAGGCACCUCGCAGUUUUGUUUUUUUUAGUUUUUUUAUGCAGGCCAGCGAAGAGAUCCGACGCACGAGCGAGACUGAAACCCCGCUUCUCAAGAAACAGACUGUGAGCCGGUGAACGCGGGUCGUUGGUUCCAUCAUAUUGAAGGGAAAGCCCAUCCCUUGAUGCCAUGAUACCGGUCCGCGCGGUUCAGUGCAUCGCCGGAGUGAUGACGUGCCUCAUUGACUCCAGUUACUCCUGGACAUCCCUGUAAUACAUUUCGACAGCCUCCACGGAUGUGUGGAUAGAAUGUGUGGUGAUGAAUGGAUUUUUUUAUUUUCCUGUGAGAGAACUGCAACGGGCCCCGGCUGCAUCCAAGGACGGACAACAACCCAAGAAGAAGCGGAGCCGUCAGACAUAGUUUUAGCCCAGUGCUUUGAAAAUCAAACAAUAACGUCAGACUCUCAGUGUUCCAGUCAUGCAUUAACACACAGCUUGAGGACAAUGCUGGAGGACAUUGAUCCAUACAAACAAGGGAAACUGUGAGUUUUUUAAUGGCCGAGGACUUCAGACAGCUUGUGACUGUAAAAACCAAGUAUUAAAUAUUACGACUUACUCUUUGCUCCAUUUGAAUUUAUACAAUAAGUGUUGUUCUUUUAAAAAUUGGGAAGAUACGGAUAUGAAUCAGGCCACACUUUCAACACUGUUUCUCCAAUGAGGAUCCUUAUAUCAUAACCCUUACAACAAAGACAAACGGCAGAAAACAUUUUAGUGUCGGUUCGUGAGACUGAGUGUCACUAUGGCACAGAUUCAGAACUGGUUUGAUGUUACCAGGAAACCAUUUGGUCACCAAAAUAUGGUAGGUUCAACCAUAUGGUAGGUAUGGUUCUAUCCAUCCAUCCGUCGUCUUCUGCUUAUCCGAGGUCGGCCUUGUUCCAGACAUCCCUCGCCACAGCUACGCUUCCCAGCUGCUUCUGAGGGACCCUGAGGCGUUUCCAGGCCAGAUGGAACACGUAAUCCCUCCAGCAAGUUCUAGGUCUUCUCCGGGGUCUCCUCCCAGCUGGGUACGCCCGGAAAACCCUCCAGUGGACGGCGCCCAGGAGGGGAUCCGACCAAACUCAACUGGGCCCUUUCAACGCACAGGAGCAGCCGCUCUUCUCUCCGGAUGGCCAAACUCCUCUCAGUCUCCAAGGCUGAACUGCUCUGAUAUUUUUUUUCAACUAGUCCAUUUAAAUGAGACCAAUCAAAGUUAUCCACUUCCCCCCCGUUAUUGGUCUCAAUGCUGUGGCUGAUCGAUGUACAUGCAUGCACGAAUGUGGCAUGUGGCAAGAGCUCACGUUACUGCAUUUUUCAUAACUCUCCACUUCCUCCUCUGUUGCUGCUCGCAGAGGGUUCAAGUCCCUCGGUUUCACCCACAGCGUGGCCACGUGGCGCAGCAAACACCUAAUCAUCCAGUCGGUUUAUCGCUGCGGGUACACAGUAAGUUCCUGCAUGCGGGGAACAUAUCACAACAAAACCAAUCAGUGGUCUGCCGGGAGAUGAAACUUUGAAACAUAACGCACUGUCUGGAGGUGAGAAUCAAAUGAAAUGAUUUUAAAAUGCCGCCCCCUUGGCUGGUGCCUGGAAUACAACCCGUCAGUUUAUCAGUAAAUAAUAGGAGAUCCAUUGAAUUGAUCGGCCACUCAGCAGCUGCGCCACGCGGCCGUCAAAGUGACACGGGAAGUAAGGGGUUCACUGGUACCAGUCCGUCAGUGACUGGGUUUCUCGCACAGGCAGCAACAUGCCAUUUUGGAAAACAAGCUUCUCCAUCGCACCGGUGGUCAGAAGUGAUACAAAUGUGCCCCACCUCUCUCUGAAGCAUGCGCUCGCAAGAAUCAAUAUGCCUGGGUCGGGAAAACCCCCGCCUCACUUCUUCGACCCAGAACAGGCCAGAUGAGUGACCCUGACGGGGCCUUGGCCGUAAUGACGAACGAGAGCCUCCUCUUCAAACGUUGGCAGAUCCUCUUGAGUUCAUAUCUCCACAGAAUGUAAAUGUAUCAUUAUGCUACUGGGAUUUAAUUUGGAGCAGAAGAGUUACAUAUUCAGCAGUUUACCAAAAGUCUUCAACUUGAUUGUCUGAGCUGUGCAAAGUCGGCCGAUCUACAGGAGCUUGCUUGCUGCGUGUUCCACCUAGCGCCACUGCAGUGAUUAAGAAACAGGUUCGACAAGUGGCUGGUUUCACCAUAAGACAACAUGCGUUAUGCUCCACGUACUACCUACGAAACCCACAGAGGCACGAGCAGGUGAAGAGCAGCAAACAAAAGCACUCACAGUGGAUUAAAGAUCAGCCGUCUGAGGCCAAUUUUUGAAUUGGGAAAUGGGCAUACAUGUGGGACAAGGGUAAUGACAUCGCCUUCUCCGAGGCACUCAUGAAUAAUUCAGUCAGACACAGUGUCUUGAAUAGGCCUACUCAUGUUUUUUUGUUUGUUUUUUUAUCUCCGGGCCAUCCUUGUCACGGAUAUGUGACAUCUGGGAAGGACAAAAUCUAAUGAGAUGAUGGUGGAGCUUUCACAGGCCACAUAGCAACGGCAGCAACCUUGAUGACCUGAUUAAACUGGACAUUGUCAACAAGGUGCUUAUAGGACAUCUCGUGCACAAUCUUCAACAAUCCCAAAACCCACAAGUUUACCUGAUGAGUGUGUCAUCAUCAACAAUGAGAAGCCAAUCAGCCUUCGGCACAGCUUUACUGAGGAACCGCCUCAAGAUGGCGAAUGUCUUCCCACAAUGCCCUGCAGGGACACGACAUAAAGACAACAAGUGUGAGAAGGAUGGAGCGGGGUUCACCAGUUCUGAUCCUGGAGGUUUGUGACUCAUAAAACGUCCGAGGAGCAGAAACCUAAAAAAAAAAACCCGAAGGACUGAGGGAGACAGAAUGUGAGUCUGAGUGUGUACGUGAC
Long non-coding RNA from Scophthalmus maximus (turbot), 3038 nucleotides. RefSeq lists it as uncharacterized. The record is from RefSeq and is a predicted model, not a curated record. NCBI's taxonomy places the organism in Eukaryota, Metazoa, Chordata, Actinopteri, Pleuronectiformes, Scophthalmidae. The transcript is spliced from 3 exons.